RNAcentral lists this ribosomal RNA (417 nucleotides) under uncultured bacterium. RNAcentral describes it as "bacterial SSU rRNA". It matches the Rfam family "Bacterial small subunit ribosomal RNA", at positions 125 to 518 of the family's 1533-position model. The record is from RNAcentral.
CCUGCCCAGUAAGAGGGGGGAUAACAUCCGGGAAACGGGUGCUAAUACCGCUAUAGUUUUCUUGAUCGCAUGAUUGAGAAAGGAAAGACGGGCCUUUGUGCUGUCGCUUAUGGAUGGACCCGCGGCGUAUUAGUUAGUUGGUGAGGUAACGGCUCACCAAGACGAUGAUACGUAGCCGACCUGAGAGGGUGAUCGGCCACAUUGGGACUGGAGACACGGCCCAAACUCCUACGGGAGGCAGCAGUAGGGAAUCUUCCGGCAAUGGACGAAAGUCUGACGGAGCAACGCCGCGUGAGUGAAAGAAGGUUUUCGGAUCGUAAAACUCUGUUGUCAGAGAAGAACAAGUUGGAGAGUAACUGCUCCAGCUUUGACGGUAUCUGACCAGAAAGCCACGGCUAACUACGUGCCAGCCGCGGC